AACGAACGCUGGCGGCAGGCCUAACACAUGCAAGUCGAACGAAACGCCCCUUCGGGGGGUGGAAAGUGGCAGACGGGUGAGUAACGCGUGGGAACCUACCCAAGGGUACGGAAUAACCCAGGGAAACUUGGGCUAAUACCGUAUACGUCCCCCUUUGGAGACAUUGGGGGAGAAAGAUUUAUCGCCCCUGGAUGGGCCCGCGUCGGAUUAGCUUGUUGGUGGGGUAAUGGCUCACCAAGGCGACGAUCCGUAGCUGGUCUGAGAGGAUGAUCAGCCACACUGGGACUGAGACACGGCCCAGACUCCUACGGGAGGCAGCAGUGGGGAAUAUUGGACAAUGGGCGCAAGCCUGAUCCAGCCAUGCCGCGUGAGUGAAGAAGGCCUUAGGGUUGUAAAGCUCUUUCGGCGAGGAAGAUAAUGACGGUACUCGCAGAAGAAGCCCCGGCUAACUCCGUG
This 456-nucleotide ribosomal RNA is filed under the name uncultured bacterium. RNAcentral describes it as "bacterial SSU rRNA". It matches the Rfam family "Bacterial small subunit ribosomal RNA", at positions 29 to 507 of the family's 1533-position model. The record is from RNAcentral.